This 514-nucleotide ribosomal RNA is filed under the name uncultured bacterium. RNAcentral describes it as "partial 16S ribosomal RNA". It matches the Rfam family "Bacterial small subunit ribosomal RNA", at positions 28 to 523 of the family's 1533-position model. The record is from RNAcentral.
GAUGAACGCUGGCGGCGUGCCUAAUACAUGCAAGUCGGGCGAACAGAUGAGAAGCUUGCUUCUCUGAUGUUAGCGGCGGACGGGUGAGUAACACGUGGGUAACCUACCUAUAAGACUGGGAUAACUCCGGGAAACCGGGGCUAAUACCGGAGAAUAUUUUGAACCGCAUGGUUCGAUAGUGAAAGACGGUUUCGGCUGUUACUUAUAGAUGGACCCGCGCCGUAUUAGCUAGUUGGUAAGGUAACGGCUUACCAAGGCGACGAUACGUAGCCGACCUGAGAGGGUGAUCGGCCACACUGGAACUGAGACACGGUCCAGACUCCUACGGGAGGCAGCAGUAGGGAAUCUUCCGCAAUGGGCGAAAGCCUGACGGAGCGACGCCGCGUGAGUGAUGAAGGUCUUCGGAUCGUAAAACUCUGUUGUUAGGGAAGAACAAAUUUGUUAGUAACUGAACAAGUCUUGACGGUACCUAACCAGAAAGCCACGGCUAACUACGUGCCAGCCGCCGCUGUAA